RNAcentral lists this transfer RNA (73 nucleotides) under Ipomoea nil (Japanese morning glory). It matches the Rfam family "tRNA". Rfam says of the family: Transfer RNA (tRNA) molecules are approximately 80 nucleotides in length. Their secondary structure includes four short double-helical elements and three loops (D, anti-codon, and T loops). Further hydrogen bonds mediate the characteristic L-shaped molecular structure. tRNAs have two regions of fundamental functional importance: the anti-codon, which is responsible for specific mRNA codon recognition, and the 3' end, to which the tRNAs corresponding amino acid is attached (by aminoacyl-tRNA synthetases). tRNAs cope with the degeneracy of the genetic code in two manners: having more than one tRNA (with a specific anti-codon) for a particular amino acid; and 'wobble' base-pairing, i.e. permitting non-standard base-pairing at the 3rd anti-codon position. Lineage: Eukaryota; Viridiplantae; Streptophyta; Magnoliopsida; Solanales; Convolvulaceae. The record is from Rfam by way of RNAcentral.
GGGUGUGUAGCUCAUAUGGUAAAGUGCUCGCUUCGCAUGUGAGAGGUAAGGGGUUUAAUUCCACGCACUUCCA